This 1765-nucleotide long non-coding RNA is filed under the name Homo sapiens (human). RNAcentral describes it as "HSALNT0358799". The record is from RNAcentral. Lineage: Eukaryota; Metazoa; Chordata; Mammalia; Primates; Hominidae.
GGACGGGCCCGCGGCAUCGUCCGCGACGCAGCUCGGGAUCCGGGUCGGGGUGUCGGCCGGGUUGCUGCCGGGCACCGUCGAGCGUUAGCCACCCAGCAUUGAGCUGCCAGCGGCUGUUCUCCCUAAGCACCCUCGCUCACGUCGCCUCGCCUCGCCUGACCGGCCGCAGCCUUGGAUACCAGCCUUAAAUCGAGCCGACUACGGCCCAGCCCCGCCCGCGGCGAGGUGCGCGGGGUUCGGUGCGAGCCCCUCGCCCCUGGCCGGGCCAGCCUCUUGAUGCACCGGGGACGGGCGCGCCCAUCCGACUCUUCGAGGGGCGGCAGGGCCCCAUCUGUGUCUUUCGCUCUCGAGCCCCCAGCUAGAGUUGGCUUCAGCGGAAUACCUACUGUGCGGGAUUAUUCAACAAGCCGAUUGAUCACAUUCUUCAGCUCUAGCAGUGCAAAGGCUUCACUGAAAAAGAACAUUACAACUUUUUUGAAAGAAAUUUGGGGGUAAAUUUAAUUUUAAAUACUGAUUUUUGAUAACAUUUGAUCUUAUGACAGCAUUUGUAUUUUUAAUUACAGAUAGGAUUACACUAAAAGUCAUUUCUGACCUGCUCCCUUACCCUUAUGGCUAAAAUAAACUGCUAGGCCCUGAAGCAAAGGCGAGCCAUGUUCUAGAGCAAUGUCUUUCUUGUAUUAAAAUACAGCCCCAUGCUCACAAAAAAAAAAAAAAAAAAUUUUGGAGUGUAAACAUAUACAUCAUCUUAAUUUGAGUCCUUAUGUGUUGACGGUGUGCAGGGAAGAAUGGGAAAGUAACUGUAAGUGGAGCCCAGAAAGAACUAACAAAUUCAUGAAAAAGUGACAUUAUUGCUGGUCUAUUUUUUUUUUAAUUUUCUGCUUCCUCACACUCUCCCAUACUAAAUGAAUUAUUUAGUGGUUUUUUUUUUGUUUUUUUUUUUUUGUUUUUUUUUGUGAUACGGAGUUUUGCUAUUGUUGCCCAGGCUGGCACGAUCUUGGCUCACCGCAACCUCCGCCUCCCAAGUUCAAGUGAUUCUCCUACCUCAGCCUCCCAAGUAGCUGGGAUUACAGGCAUGCACCACCGCGCCCGGCUAAUUUUUUGUGUUUUUAUUAGAGACGGGGUUUCUCCAUGGUGGUCAGGCUGGUCGCAAACUCCCGACCUUAGGUGAUACGCCCACCUCGGCCUCCCAAAGUGCUGGGAUUACAGGCGUGAGCCACCGUGCCCGGCCGACAGGUGUUUUUUAUGAGUUACAGACUAUGUGCUUUCAGAAUGAGGCAACUGAUUUAAGGAUGUAAGCAUAAUUUAAGGAUAUUGAAAAUGAUAUAGGAAUAAAUUUGUUUAGUCAUUCAUGGAUUUAUUCAUUUUCAGAUGACUAUGUGUGUGAAUAUUUAAGAAUUCUAAAACCGCAUGGGAUUACUUAUAACUGUAUAGGAGCCUAACACGAUAAUGGAAUCAGAAUAUACUUUGCUGAAGGUAUGAGGCUUUUAACUGAAAGUCUUCUCUCUACGUUUUUAUGUCUGUAACAAGAAUCCACUGAAGACCUACAUUUCCCGGAAGGUUAACAGCCCCCUUCUCAGUUUUCCUGAUAUAAAUUUAAUUCACAGUUGGGCAGGGCAUGGUGCCUCACACCUAUAAUCCAAGCACUUUGGGAGCCCGAGGCAGGCGGAUCACCUGAGGUUAGGAAUUCAAGACCAGCCUGGGCAACAUGGUGAAACCCCGUCUCUACUAAAAAUACAAAAAUUACUACUCAGGAGGCUGAGGUAGG